RNAcentral lists this ribosomal RNA (703 nucleotides) under Nostoc sp. 21.6. RNAcentral describes it as "bacterial SSU rRNA". It matches the Rfam family "Bacterial small subunit ribosomal RNA", at positions 38 to 785 of the family's 1533-position model. The record is from RNAcentral. Lineage: Bacteria; Bacillati; Cyanobacteriota; Cyanophyceae; Nostocales; Nostocaceae.
GGCGGUAUGCUUAACACAUGCAAGUCGAACGGACUCUUCGGAGUUAGUGGCGGACGGGUGAGUAACGCGUGAGAAUCUGGCUUCAGGUCGGGGAUAACUACUGGAAACGGUGGCUAAUACCGGAUGUGCCGAAAGGUAAAAGGCUUGCUGCCUGAAGAUGAGCUCGCGUCUGAUUAGCUAGUUGGUGUGGUAAGAGCGCACCAAGGCGACGAUCAGUAGCUGGUCUGAGAGGAUGAUCAGCCACACUGGGACUGAGACACGGCCCAGACUCCUACGGGAGGCAGCAGUGGGGAAUUUUCCGCAAUGGGCGAAAGCCUGACGGAGCAAUACCGCGUGAGGGAGGAAGGCUCUUGGGUUGUAAACCUCUUUUCUCAGGGAAUAAAAAAAUGAAGGUACCUGAGGAAUCAGCAUCGGCUAACUCCGUGCCAGCAGCCGCGGUAAUACGGAGGAUGCAAGCGUUAUCCGGAAUGAUUGGGCGUAAAGCGUCCGCAGGUGGCUAUGUAAGUCUGCUGUUAAAGAGCAAAGCUUAACUUUGUAAAAGCAGUGGAAACUACAUAGCUAGAGUGCGUUCGGGGCAGAGGGAAUUCCUGGUGUAGCGGUGAAAUGCGUAGAGAUCAGGAAGAACACCGGUGGCGAAGGCGCUCUGCUAGGCCGCAACUGACACUGAGGGACGAAAGCUAGGGGAGCGAAUGGGAUUAGAUAC